This 253-nucleotide ribosomal RNA is filed under the name uncultured bacterium. Its description in RNAcentral is "partial 16S ribosomal RNA". It matches the Rfam family "Bacterial small subunit ribosomal RNA", at positions 524 to 776 of the family's 1533-position model. The record is from RNAcentral.
UACAGAGGUCUCAAGCGUUGUUCGGAUUCAUUGGGCGUAAAGGGUGCGUAGGCGGCGCCGUAAGUCGGGUGUGAAAUUUCGGAGCUUAACUCCGAAACUGCAUUCGAUACUGCGGUGCUUGAGGACUGGAGAGGAGACUGGAAUUCAUGGUGUAGCGGUGAAAUGCGCAGAUAUCAGGAGGAACACCAAUGGCGAAGGCAGCUCUCUGGGACGGUACUGACGCUGAGACGCGAAAGCGUGGGGAGCGAACAGG